CACAUAUGUUUUUGCUGUGCUCGGCUGAAAUGAAACAAGCAUUGAAGAACAUGCAGCGGUAUGACAAUCUGGCAUCAUCUACUUCAACAUAUAUUCUCCAUUGAAUUCUGAGUCAUGAGUCUGUUCAUUGAUGAAAAGGCAAAGGUCAAAGUUCACAUAUGGGAUCCAAGGGAACUGAGAGAGACAAGCAAGGAAAA
Lingula anatina is the source of this 197-nucleotide long non-coding RNA. The record is from RefSeq and is a predicted model, not a curated record. NCBI's taxonomy places the organism in Eukaryota, Metazoa, Brachiopoda, Lingulata, Lingulida, Lingulidae.